RNAcentral lists this ribosomal RNA (441 nucleotides) under uncultured bacterium. RNAcentral describes it as "bacterial LSU rRNA". It matches the Rfam family "Bacterial large subunit ribosomal RNA", at positions 1649 to 2081 of the family's 2925-position model. The record is from RNAcentral.
GCAAACCGACACAGGUGGGUAGGGUGAGAAUCCUAAGGCGCUUGAGAGAACUCAGGAGAAGGAACUCGGCAAAUUAACACCGUAACUUCGGGAGAAGGUGUGCCCUUGUAGGGUGAAGUCCCUUGCGGAUGGAGCUCGAAAAGGGUUGCAGUGAAAAGGUGGCUGCGACUGUUUAUUAAAAACACAGCACUCUGCAAACACGAAAGUGGACGUAUAGGGUGUGACGCCUGCCCGGUGCUGGAAGAUUAAAUGAUGGGGUGCAAGCUCUUGACUGAAGUCCCAGUAAACGGCGGCCGUAACAAUAACGGUCCUAAGGUAGCGAAAUUCCUUGUCGGGUAAGUUCCGACCCGCACGAAUGGCGUAACGAUGGCCACACUGUCUCCUCCUGAGACUCAGCGAAGUUGAAAUGUUUGUGAAGAUGCAAUCUCCCCGCUGCUAGAC